This 1078-nucleotide long non-coding RNA is filed under the name Populus trichocarpa (black cottonwood). RNAcentral's name for it is "long non-coding RNA (PTRI_LNC002992)". The record is from RNAcentral. Lineage: Eukaryota; Viridiplantae; Streptophyta; Magnoliopsida; Malpighiales; Salicaceae.
GCAUGCUUUUGCCAUUCCUGCUAGAAAACAUAUGAAAGAUUGGAUGGAAAUUGUAAUGAAGACCCCUAAUUAAUCCAAGAUCCAACAAGCGAUAUAUAUUUUCCCAGUGCCAAGAGAGGAAGAAGAUAUAUGUAUGUAAAUCUUUGUUUUUCAAAAUUCAUCACCAGAUACAGGAAGAUCAAAAACAAAAGGAAGAUAAGAGAAAUGGAGGGGAACUAAUUGCAUUAAACAAUGAACAAAUUCACAUUCCUUUUACAGUUUCUUGUUCAUGGAAACCACAUGAAACAGAUCUUAAUAUUUAUAUAAAUAUUAAACAACAGGGAGCAUUCAACGGUCACAAAGCCAACCUUAAUUUGCAAAUGCAAGAAGGGUACUGUUAAUCAAGUUAAAACAUGCACCUUUCAAACCUUCAUCUCCUUAAUUUCUUGACUAUUAUAUGUAUAAUUUGUUUGAUCCUCUCUUUUAGGAUUUAGCUAUAGAUGGAUAAUUCUAUAGCAGGUUCUCUUGACCCAGCAAAGCCCUUUCUUUAUAGAAGACUUGACUUUUCCCUCGACAGCAUAUAGCUUAUAUCUUGCAACACGUGUUUUCCUCUUUGUCUCUGGUGAAUUCCACCACGACUUGGCAGACUUUGAAGAUCUCUUUGCAACAUGUUGAUCAUGAUACCGGUGAUGAUGCUUCCUGGAAAAAUCAUAGUCUGGGCGAUAUUUUGAUGUUACAGUACUUCUGUCAUGAACAUUGAUCUCGUCCAUCUUGAUUGAUCUCCAGCUCCCUCUCCCUCUCCCUCUCUCUCUGCAACAGGAGGGGUCAAAUGAGAGAGACGAAGAGAGAGGGAUGCUCUCUUAGGCCUUUUAUCAAGGGAAAGGAAGGGGUAUGAUUUGUUAGGAUAGAAAGGUAAGAUCAUGUUAAGAUAGCUUUGUACUUCUAAUUCUAACGGUGCGUAAGGUUGUCAGCUUGUUAGAUUCUGUCAUGACAGAAUGUUUUAUUAUUUCUCAUUUUGAAAAAAAAGAUAUUUUAUUUACUAAUCGAAUCAGAUUAAUCAAAUAAUAUCCACCAUACCUUAGCUUAUAUUAUUUCAGAA